AGGAGGAGGUCUAAAGGGCUGGUAAAGUUGCUGAUUAGAAGGAGGUGGAGAGGCGGGGAUUAAAGUGGCUGAUAUGGGUUUUAGAGGGGUUUUUGGGGAUGGAGAUAGGGAGAUAAAGAGGGAAGAGUAGUGGCUAAGGAAAGAAGAAGAGAAGGGUUUAUUGGAAUUGGAAAGAGAGAUGAGCAUGUGGGCGUUUACAGUUGCAGAAAGCAUGGUGGGAAGAGUGAAGAUGAAAUGAGGUUCAAACUUCAAAGGAAGGGAAGAGUUCCUGUACCU
RNAcentral lists this unclassified non-coding RNA (276 nucleotides) under Hevea brasiliensis (rubber tree). Lineage: Eukaryota; Viridiplantae; Streptophyta; Magnoliopsida; Malpighiales; Euphorbiaceae. The record is from RNAcentral.